This 702-nucleotide long non-coding RNA is filed under the name Hordeum vulgare. RNAcentral describes it as "long non-coding RNA (HVUL_LNC003600)". The record is from RNAcentral. Lineage: Eukaryota; Viridiplantae; Streptophyta; Magnoliopsida; Poales; Poaceae.
AAAAAAAUAUAAUCUUUAUUGAUCUUUGAAACCUUGACGAUCUUAUACAGUACUAAUGUAUAGCUGACUGUAACAGAAUAGAUAGACGAGAACACUGCAAUAUGAUUUGGGCUAAAUAAUUUCUGUACACAUGAAUUGCACGAUAGUACAAGCCAUCCUCGAAUACUCUUUAUUGAUAUUGCAAAAAACAUACAUAAGAUCCGUCUCAAAAUAAGUGUCUCAAAUUUAGUUAGCACUAAAACUCUCCGACUGAGGGAGAAAUGACUAACUAGUUGUAACACGCUACUCCUUAGCAAGACUAAAAGCCGUCGGGCAAAACAUCGAAUACUCUUUAUUGAUAUGGGAAAAACCUUACAUAAGGACUAACUGACUGUAACACGCUACUCCUUAGCAAGACUAGACCUAGACGAGAACAAUGGACUUGAGUCGACUAACACUUGUCGUACUCAAUCUGACAGACCCGACAUUUAGGCGAGCAUUUGAUCUCCAGCGUCGUCCUCAGACUCCUUCCCUCUGCUGGAUCUCCAAUGAAAAGAACCUACAUUGAGAACACAGAAACGACAGUAAGUAGUACCAAGUAAGCGAAAGAAGGAAAGCAUGCUGAGUUCCUGCCUGACAUGAUUCAAUUCAAUGCUUAAAACUAUCGAGUCUGACUGAUACUCAAAUGCAAUGCGAGCGAUGCAAUGGUGAGAGAAAGNNNNN